GCGUGCGGGAAGAAGGCCUUCGGGUUGUAAACCGCUUUUGUCAGGGAAGAAAAGUCGUGUACGAAUACUACGCGAUGAUGACGGUACCUGAAGAAUAAGCACCGGCUAACUACGUGCCAGCAGCCGCGGUAAUACGUAGGGUGCAAGCGUUAAUCGGAAUUACUGGGCGUAAAGCGUGCGCAGGCGGUCUCGUAAGACAGAUGUGAAAUCCCCGGGCUCAACCUGGGAACUGCAUUUGUGACUGCGAGACUAGAGUGCGGCAGAGGGGGAUGGAAUUCCGCGUGUAGCAGUGAAAUGCGU
RNAcentral lists this ribosomal RNA (300 nucleotides) under uncultured bacterium. RNAcentral's name for it is "bacterial SSU rRNA". It matches the Rfam family "Bacterial small subunit ribosomal RNA", at positions 399 to 691 of the family's 1533-position model. The record is from RNAcentral.